AUAACAAACGUGAAAAGGACAUGGCACGCGCACAAGACGCACAGUUCGUCGCGGAAUAUUGCAUAAUUUCAUUUUAAUCAUGGUGCUCCAAAAAUUAAUUUGCUUACCAAGUUGCUGAAGAUUCAUCUGCGUCUCGACCGCUUCAGCACCGUCACCAAAGAUAAACGAUUUUGUUGGAAGCUGCCGGAUGGAGCUGCGACCGGGACGAGCUGUUUGACCAACUUGGUGGAAGCUCAACGGAUUCAAUUUGACCACUUUCACCAAAGUGGAAGACGACGCGGAGGCAUCGGAAAAAAGCUCGAGCACACCAAUAGAACCAAUAGAACCGACCUUGAUGCACUCGAUGCGUGCCUUCUAUCAAACCCGGAAUUGAGCGUUUCAACUGAAAAUCAAUCUUUUUGGCCCGUCGUAACUGCAACUGUGACAACUGCAUGGACUGCGGUAUCAGCGGAGCUCCUUCUUCCAUCCAAGCUUCCAUCAUCUUCGUCGGCCGUGGCAUCGGAAAAUAUCCCAGACCAUCAUUUGCGUUAGGUAGUGGCAUUUGCGAUGUGAAAUGUCCAGCUGUGAACAUUGCUCAUGCAGCAACAUUGUUCAGUCCACGUGGCCUAGAACUACUCCAGUGUACAAUAAAAAAAAAUAACAAAACUUAUUUUUUCAAUCAUAUUAUUCAAAAUUUUAAUUUAUUGUUAUUUUAAAGCCAAUUCCCAAUGAAAAUAAUCUUAUUAUUCCCAUUAAUAGGAACUAUGUGCCUCACAACUGAAAUCUGAUCAACUGACUUUUAAAAAGUAAAAGGUUCGCACAUAAAAUCCAUCUUGACUGAGUUGGCAAAGUUUCGAUAAGCCUGCACUUAUUUUUUAAGUGCAAAAUCAAUUGGUCACAAUCCAAGUGCAAGAAACUUAUAUUCAAUAGGUUAAUUAAUCUGAGUGUACAGAUUCUUCAAGGAACUCUUCCGGAAAUCCACCUUGUAUUCUUUGAAGAACUCCUCCAGGAAAUAAUUCAGUAUUUCCUCCAGGAGCUGUUUUGGAAUUCCCUUAAGAAUUCCUCCCAAAAUUGCUUCCGGGAUUCCUUCUGGAGUUUCUUCAGGUUCUCUUCUGAGGAUUCCUCCAGAAUUUCUGCAAGAAUUCCAUCUGCGAUUUCUUCAGGAAUUAUUCCUGGUAUUCCUCUAUGAAGUUCUCAAGAGAAUCAUCCACGAAUUUCUUCAGGAAUUUCAUUUCAUCUUGAGAUUCCUCCAGAAACUCUGCCAGAAAUUCCUCUAGAGAUUUCUUCAGGAGUUCUUCUGGAGAUUCCUUCAGGAAU
Molecule: long non-coding RNA, 1296 nt
Organism: Aedes albopictus (Asian tiger mosquito)
Lineage: Eukaryota; Metazoa; Arthropoda; Insecta; Diptera; Culicidae
Exons: 3
Source: RefSeq, a predicted model, not a curated record